RNAcentral lists this ribosomal RNA (300 nucleotides) under uncultured Halobiforma sp. RNAcentral describes it as "bacterial SSU rRNA". It matches the Rfam family "Bacterial small subunit ribosomal RNA", at positions 496 to 795 of the family's 1533-position model. The record is from RNAcentral. Lineage: Archaea; Methanobacteriati; Methanobacteriota; Halobacteria; Halobacteriales; Natrialbaceae.
GCUAGUUGCGUGCCAGCGGAUGGUGAGAUAGUUAGGGUUGAGGGGUGGGCCGUAAUUACGUGGCUGAAAGAGCGCGUAGGUGGUUGGUCGCGUUGUUCGUGAAAACUCACAACUCAAUUUUGGGCGUGCGGGCGAGACGGGCAGACUGGAGUACUGCAGGGUGGACUGGAAUUCCUGGUGUAGCGGGGGAAUGCGCAGAUAUCAGGAGGAACACCGGUGGCGAAGGCGGGUCUCUGGGCAGUAACUGACGCUGAGGAGCGAAAGCGUGGGGAGCGAACAGGAUUAGAUACCCGGGUAGUC